Molecule: ribosomal RNA, 544 nt
Filed under: Colletotrichum gloeosporioides
Lineage: Eukaryota; Fungi; Ascomycota; Sordariomycetes; Glomerellales; Glomerellaceae
Description: eukaryotic LSU rRNA
Rfam family: 5.8S ribosomal RNA (bases 188-341)
Source: RNAcentral
AGAGCCAGGAUACCUGGAUUUACGCUCUAAACCCUUCUGUGAACAUACCUAUAACUUGUUUGCUUCGGCGGGUAGGGUCUCCGCGACCCUCCCGGCCUCCCGCCUCCGGGCGGGUCGGCGCCCGCCGGAGGAUAACCAAACUCUGAUUUAACGACGUUUCUUCUGAGUGGUACAAGCAAAUAAUCAAAACUUUUAACAACGGAUCUCUUGGUUCUGGCAUCGAUGAAGAACGCAGCGAAAUGCGAUAAGUAAUGUGAAUUGCAGAAUUCAGUGAAUCAUCGAAUCUUUGAACGCACAUUGCGCCCGCCAGCAUUCUGGCGGGCAUGCCUGUUCGAGCGUCAUUUCAACCCUCAAGCUCUGCUUGGUGUUGGGGCCCUACAGCUGAUGUAGGCCCUCAAAGGUAGUGGCGGACCCUCUCGGAGCCUCCUUUGCGUAGUAACUUUACGUCUCGCACUGGGAUCCGGAGGGACUCUUGCCGUAAAACCCCCAAUUUUCCAAAGGUUGACCUCGGAUCAGGUAGGAAUACCCGCUGAACUUAAGCAUA